RNAcentral lists this long non-coding RNA (2931 nucleotides) under Octopus vulgaris (common octopus). Lineage: Eukaryota; Metazoa; Mollusca; Cephalopoda; Octopoda; Octopodidae. The record is from RNAcentral.
AUUAAUAAAUAUGUACUCUACAAAUAAUAUUGAGAGAAUCUUCAGUUUAAUUUUGUUUUAAUAUAUAAUUUCGCAUAAAAAACAAGCAUUGAAUUUAUAUAUAAGUAUAUAUGAAUACAUUUAUUUGCAGAUGGGCUGUCAUUCAUUUGUACUCUGAAUAGCUUCGUUCCAUUUUUCUCAGUGCUUUGAAAAACAGAAAGAAAAGUGAGUCAAGCUAGCAAUGUAGGGAAUGAAUAAAUGGUUGGGCUCUACUACAUUGUAUUGAGUACUUGUUACUGUUGCUUGUUAAACUCAAAUGCAUAUGUGUGCAUGCAUGUACAUAUAUAUAUAUAUAUAUAUAUAUAUAUAGACAUGCAUAUGUACAUAUAUAUGUACAUACAUUGUAAAUUUAUACAUAGAACCAGGAUGAUAUUAUAGAAAUAUAUAAAGCAGAGACAAGAGAGAGAAAGUAAAGGUGAUGUUGAAACAUCAGUUUGAGAGUAAUAUAAUAUAUUUCUAAAGGCAGGUACCACAAAGAGGAAAGGAGGUGGAGAAAUGUGUAGUAGCAUAUCAGUAGAGAGAUCAUUGGAACGGUCAGAAGUGAAUGGUGAGGAAAUUAAGGGGUACAAUUACUGAGAUCAAUAUAUAAAGAUUGUAGAAGAUAGGGGAACGUCAUGGAGAUCAAUGAUUGUUGGAAGGGGUCAGAAUGUUUUGAUGUUUAUUGUAAAUGAGGUAGAGGGGUGAAGAAAGUUUUUACCUCUCAGGUGAGGGUUGACAGCCAUGGCUCUAAAAACACCUGUUUAGCAAUCUGUGAAAAUGUGUUUGCUACACUGCAGAGAUGUGUUUAGAUGUAGUGGUGUUUAGAGAUCUAUGGAAACAUUAGUAAAUCUGUAGAGACAUAUUUAGAGAUCUAUAGAAAUAUAGUUAAAAAUAUGUUGAUGUAAGGUUAGAGAUCUGUAACAAUGUGUUUUGAGAUCUACUUAGGAAGUCUGUAGAGUUGGGUUUAGAGAUCUAUAGCAAUGUAUCUAGAGAUCUGUAGAAAAGUGUUUAGAGAUCUGUAGAGAUGUGUUUAGGGAUGUAUAGAAGCAUCUAGAAACCUCAAAUGAUGUGUUUAGGGAUGUAUAGAAGCAUCUAGAAACCUCAAAUGAUGUGUUUAGGGAUGUAUAGAAGCAUCUAGAAACCUCAAACGAUGUGUUUAGAGAUCUGUAGUGUUUAGAAAUUCAUAGAAAUAUAUUUAGAAAUCAGUAGAAAUAUGCUUAGAGAUCUUAGAAAUUUCACUGAAAUGUGUUUAGGGAUCUGUAGAAAUGUACAUAGAGAUCUGUAGUGUUUAGAUAUAUAUGAGUUUAGUUAUCUAUGUGUUUAGAGAUCUACAGAAAUAUAUAGAAAUCUGUAAAGAUGUGUUUAAAGGUCUAAGGACAUUUGCAGAGAUCAAUAGAGAAAUGUUUAGGAGUCUUAGAGAUCUAUUUAAAUGUCUGUAGAGAUGUGUUUAGAGAUCUGUAGUGUUUAGAUAUCUAUGUGUUUAGAGAUCUACAGAAAUAUAUAGAAAUCUGUAAAGAUGUGUUUAAAGGUCUAAGGACAUUUGUAGAGAGAUCAAUAGAGAAAUGUUUAGGAGUCUUAGAGGUCUAUUUAAAUGUCUGUAGAGAUGUGUUUAGAGAUCUAUAAAAUAUACAUUUUCUUAGAGAUCUUUAAGUAUGUGUUUAGGUAUCUGAAUAUCUGUAGGAAUAUGUUUAGAGCUUCACUGAGAUGUGUUAAGAGGCCAGUCAGGCUGUCUUGAGAAAGCUAUGGAAAGAUAUGGAGAGAUUUGUAAUAAUAUGUUGAAAGGUCAGAUGAGAUGUGUUUAGAGAGCUGUACAAAUGUGUUUAGAAGCUUGUUGAGGUGUGGUAAGAUAUCUGAAGAAACGUGUUUAGCAAUCUGUAGUGGUGUGUUUAGUGGUCUACAGAGAUGUAUUUAGAAAUCUGUACAGAAGUCUAAAGAGACAUGUGGAAAUGUGUUUAGAGGUAUGUACAGAAGUGUUUAGAGAGAGUGAGAGAGAGAAGAGUGAGAGGGCAGAGAGAGAGAAGAGAUGAGAGAUCAAAUUGACAGUAAGGAGAUCAAUGGAAAAAAAAAAUUGUUUAUUUACAUUUUAUUUACAGCUCUGUACAGACAUAUUUAGCAACUGCAGUGCCAGAGUAGUGGUGGCAGUGAUGGUGGUGGUGGUGGUGGCGGUGGUAGUGGUGGCGGUGGUGGUGAUGGUAGUGGUUGUGGUGGUGGUGGUAAUGGUGUCAAUGGGGGAUGAUGGUGGUUGACGGCGAGGUGCAGGUGAUGAAAGUGAUAGUAGUAGUAAUGGUGGUGGUGGUGAGGGUGGCGGCGGCGGCGGUGGUGGUGUUGGUGGUGGUGGUGACGGUGCUGUUGCUGCUGCGGAUGGUGCUGGUUGUUCUUAUGGUUGCGGUUACAAUGUGCAUGAAUGUGAUAGGCAGAUAACAACAGUAGUAGAGGUGAUAGGUGAUGGCGGCAGCGGCGGUGGUGGUGUUGGUGGUGGUGGUGGAGGUCAUAGUUAUGACGGUGACGGUAGGACGUGGUGGUCAUGGUGGUACUGGUGGUAGUAUUGGCGGUGGUGGCGGUGGUGGCGGUGGUGGUGGUGGUGGUAGUAGUGCUGGUGAUGCUGGUAAUGACAGAAGCCAAGUCUAUUCGGCACAUACCAGUGUGCAGUCGGUGGUGGCGGUGGGGGUGCGGGUAUAGACGAGAUCCCAACAAGAAACAUCAUAGUAAUGAUGAUGAUGAUGAUGAUGAUGAUGAUGAUGCUGACGAUGAUGACGAUGACAAAUGACAAUGAAGGUGACGACAAUGACAAUGAAAACGAUGACGAUGACAAUAAUGGUGACAACGAUGAACAAUUUGGCAAUGUGAUGCUGCGUUGGCUAUUCAAAGAUGGUAGUAAUUAUUUUCAAAGAAAACAGUCUAGUUACACAAAAG